This 2192-nucleotide long non-coding RNA is filed under the name Lactuca sativa (garden lettuce). RNAcentral describes it as "long non-coding RNA (LSAT_LNC006704)". The record is from RNAcentral. Lineage: Eukaryota; Viridiplantae; Streptophyta; Magnoliopsida; Asterales; Asteraceae.
UCGAUCGUUUACUAUAUUUCUUUUGCAUGUUUUGACUUCCAGAAUAAUUUUGUUUGGUAUAACAUAUUAUUCAAACCUCCACAGUCGGUCAUAUGUCGGAAGUAGGUAUGAAUCAAGACUGUCAUGAUGGGUUGUAGAGGUCUAAGGUGUUGGACAAGGCUACAACAAUCAUGAGUGCUCAUAAGUUCUGAGCAUUGGACUCAACCCACGCUCACUGGAAUCACUUCAUGGAAUUUUAUCUCGAGUGAUCGUGAGACGGUAAUAUCAUAUAAGUCUUCAAACCUAGAGAUAUGAUUUGUUACUUACGAGUUGGUUAUGCAUUGAUUGUACGAAAACGCAUUGGUAACUCGAUGUUAUAAAACGUGCUUUUGUGUGUAAUUCAAUGAGUGGUAGAACAAACAUAUGAGUCGAAGUUUAUCUGUUCCUUCUUGGAUUAGAAGCUGAUAUCUGGGCCCCUCGAUGAUUUUGUUUUGACCUAUGUACCGGGCCCGGUCAGAACUAAAUUGAUGUGUUCAGUUAAGUUCUAUGUCAAACAAAUCGGAAAUCGGGAAACAAAUGCUGGACAAUAAGCAAGACCAUGUUCCAUGUAUUUCUCCGGCUGAUAUCUAGAACAAAGGAUUAUAUGAUCACUUGUCUAAAAUGGUGCGUUCUAGUUAAACAGAGUUUAAAGAGCUACGAUUGCUGAUCGGUUCCUGAAGUCAUACUUGCAACUAUAGUUAUUAGACUUAUCCAAGUGGGAGACUGUUGGAUAUAGUGUCUAAGUCCAUAACUAUAUUUGGUAUGCACUUCACCCGAAAAAUUUAUGGAUAAUCUUUUGAGAAUAGUAUAAGUUAUGAUUUAUUAAUAUAUUAUAAGUUCNAAGGCUAGUGGGAGCAUAGUCAACUUUUUGGUAUUGUAUGUGGAUGACAUACUACUCAUAGGAAAUGACAUCCGAACCCUGCAGAAAGUAAAGUCCUGGCUUGGGAAGUGUUUCGCUAUGAAGGACCUUGGUGAAGCUGCCUAUAUUCUAGGGAUAAGCAUUUUGAGAAAUAGGAGUAAAAGACUAAUUGGACUUAGUCAUAGCAACUAUGUGGACAAAGUGUUGAAAAGAUUCAACAUGCAUAACUCCAAGAACGCUGAGUUACCCAUCCAGAGUAACGCCAGAUUGAGUAAGACACAAAGCCCUAGUAUUGAGGCUGAGAUAGCAGAAAUGACUCAAAUACCUUAUGCUUCAGCUGUAGGAUCGAUCAUGUAUGUUAUGACGUGUACUCGACCUGAUGUAGCCUUUGCUUUGAGCAUGGUUAGCAGGUAUCAAGGGAACCCUGGCCAGGCACACUGGACUGCGGUAAAGAAUAUCCUCAAGUACCUACGAACUACAGACUGGGUCCUUACCCUUGGUGGGAGUGAUGACUUGAAAGUUGUAGGGUACAGUGAUGCUAGCUUUCAGACUGAAAGGGAUAAUUUCCGCUCUCAGUCGGGCUGGGUCUUUACCCUAAACUGAGGGGCAAUUACUUGGAAAAGUUCCAAGAAGGAGACUGUGGCUGAUUCCACUUGUGAAUCAGAGUAUAUAGCAGCAAGCGAGGCAGCAAAGGAGGCUAUAUGGCUAAAGAACUUCAUCGGAGACCUUGGAGUUGUACCAGCUAUAAAGGAGCCAAUGGAGAUUUUCUAUGACAGCAAUAGUGCGGUUGCCUUAGCCAAGGAACCAAGAGAUCAUGGGAGAUCCAGACACAUUGAUAGAAAAUAUCACUUCAUUAGACAUCGAAUAGAAGAAGGAAUCCUCAUGGAAAAGAGGGUAUCCUCGGAUGAGAAUCCAGCAGAUCCCCUCACGAAAGGACUGACUCGGGUUAAGCAUCUCCAGCAUGCUCGGAGCAUAGGGCUGAAGGAUGAUAUUAGAUUUAGUAGUUAGAUAACCUCGAAAUUUGUAAAGUGUAAUUGACAUCAGAUGAUGAAUAAAAGGGGUUUUAUUUAUGAGUAAAGUGUUACUAUCUCUUGACGAUCGUUUACUAUAUUUCUUUUGCAUGUUUUGACUUCCAGAAUAAUUAUGUUUGGUAUAUCAUAUUAUUCGAACCUCCACAGUCGGUCAUAUGUUGGAAGUAGGUAUGAAUCAAGACUGUCAUGAUUGGUUGCAGAGGUCUAAGGUGUUGGACAUGGCUACAACAAUCAUGAGUGCUCAUAAGUUCUGAGCAUUGGACUCAACCCACGCUCACUGGAAU